UGCCUACGGGACGCAGCAGUGGGGGAUAUUGCACAAUGGGGGGAACCCUGAUGCAGCGACGCCGCGUGGGUGAAGGAGCGUUUCGGCGCGUAAAGCCCUAUCGGCAGGGAAGAAAAUGACGGUACCUGACUAAGAAGCCCCGGCUAACUACGUGCCAGCAGCCGCGGUAAUACGUAGGGGGCAAGCGUUAUCCGGAUUUACUGGGUGUAAAGGGAGCGUAGACGGAAUAGCACGUCUGAUGUGAAAGAUCGGGGCUCAACCCCGGGCCUGCAUUGGAAACUGUUAAGCUGGAGUACAGGAGAGGG
RNAcentral lists this ribosomal RNA (305 nucleotides) under uncultured bacterium. Its description in RNAcentral is "bacterial SSU rRNA". It matches the Rfam family "Bacterial small subunit ribosomal RNA", at positions 335 to 658 of the family's 1533-position model. The record is from RNAcentral.